This is a microRNA precursor of Oryza sativa Indica Group (long-grained rice), 199 nucleotides long. It matches the Rfam family "MIR812 microRNA precursor family". NCBI's taxonomy places the organism in Eukaryota, Viridiplantae, Streptophyta, Magnoliopsida, Poales, Poaceae. The record is from Rfam.
AAUAAACCCUGGUUUCGUGCCAAACGUUUAACCGUCCAUCUUAUUUGAAAAAAUUAUGAAAAAAAAUUAGAAAGACAAGUCACACACAAAGUAUUAAUCAUGUUUUAUCAUCUAAUAACAAUAAAAAUACGAAUUAUAAAAAUUUUCAUAUAAGACGGACAGUCAAAGUUGUACACAGAAAUUCAGUGUUUGCUUUUUU